UGCUAUACAUGCAGUCGAACGCACAGCGAAAGGUGCUUGCACCUUUCAAGUGAGUGGCGAACGGGUGAGUAACACGUGGACAACCUGCCUCAAGGCUGGGGAUAACAUUUGGAAACAGAUGCUAAUACCGAAUAAAACUUAGUGUCGCAUGACACAAAGUUAAAAGGCGCUUCGGCGUCACCUAGAGAUGGAUCCGCGGUGCAUUAGUUAGUUGGUGGGGUAAAGGCCUACCAAGACAAUGAUGCAUAGCCGAGUUGAGAGACUGAUCGGCCACAUUGGGACUGAGACACGGCCCAAACUCCUACGGGAGGCUGCAGUAGGGAAUCUUCCACAAUGGGCGAAAGCCUGAUGGAGCAACGCCGCGUGUGUGAUGAAGGCUUUCGGGUCGUAAAGCACUGUUGUAUGGGAAGAACAGCUAGAAUAGGAAAUGAUUUUAGUUUGACGGUACCAUACCAGAAAGGGACGGCUAAAUACGUGCCAGCAGCCGCGGUAAUACGUAUGUCCCGAGCGUUAUCCGGAUUUAUUGGGCGUAAAGCGAGCGCAGACGGUUUAUUAAGUCUGAUGUGAAAGCCCGGAGCUCAACUCCGGAAUGGCAUUGGAAACUGGUUAACUUGAGUGCAGUAGAGGUAAGUGGAACUCCAUGUGUAGCGGUGGAAUGCGUAGAUAUAUGGAAGAACACCAGUGGCGAAGGCGGCUUACUGGACUGCAACUGACGUUGAGGCUCGAAAGUGUGGGUAGCAAACAGGAUUAGAUACCCUGGUAGUCCACACCGUAAACGAUGAACACUAGGUGUUAGGAGGUUUCCGCCUCUUAGUGCCGAAGCUAACGCAUUAAGUGUUCCGCCUGGGGAGUACGACCGCAAGGUUGAAACUCAAAGGAAUUGACGGGGACCCGCACAAGCGGUGGAGCAUGUGGUUUAAUUCGAAGCAACGCGAGAACCUUACCAGGUCUUGACAUCCUUUGAAGCUUUUAGAGAUAGAAGUGCCUCUUCGGAGACAAAGUGACAGGGGGGCAUGGUCGUCGUCAGCUCGUGUCGUGAGAUGUUGGGUUAAGUCCCGCACGAGC
This 1065-nucleotide ribosomal RNA is filed under the name Leuconostoc mesenteroides. RNAcentral's name for it is "bacterial SSU rRNA". It matches the Rfam family "Bacterial small subunit ribosomal RNA", at positions 45 to 1097 of the family's 1533-position model. Lineage: Bacteria; Bacillati; Bacillota; Bacilli; Lactobacillales; Lactobacillaceae. The record is from RNAcentral.